CAGCCGCCGCGGUAAUACGUAGGUGGCAAGCGUUGUCCGGAAUUAUUGGGCGUAAAGGGCUCGCAGGCGGUUUCUUAAGUCUGAUGUGAAAGCCCCCGGCUCAACCGGGGAGGGUCAUUGGAAACUGGGAAACUUGAGUGCAGAAGAGGAGAGUGGAAUUCCACGUGUAGCGGUGAAAUGCGUAGAGAUGUGGAGGAACACCAGUGGCGAAGGCGACUCUCUGGUUUGUAACUGACGCUGAGGAUCGAAAGCGUGGGGAGCGAACAGGAUUAGAUACCCGUGUAGUCCCUGUCUCUUAUAC
This 301-nucleotide ribosomal RNA is filed under the name uncultured bacterium. Its description in RNAcentral is "partial 16S ribosomal RNA". It matches the Rfam family "Bacterial small subunit ribosomal RNA", at positions 509 to 807 of the family's 1533-position model. The record is from RNAcentral.